Molecule: ribosomal RNA, 407 nt
Filed under: uncultured bacterium
Lineage: Bacteria
Description: partial 16S ribosomal RNA
Rfam family: Bacterial small subunit ribosomal RNA
Source: RNAcentral
GACGAACGCUGGCGGCGUGCUUAACACAUGCAAGUAGGACGCAGUUGCGAACGGGAGAGUAACGCGUAGGUAACUACCUAUUAGAGGGGGAUAACUAUUGGAAACGAUAGCUAAUACCGCCUACUAGUCGAUGGACCUGCGUUGUAUUAGCUAGUAGGUAGGGUAAUGGCCUACCUCGGCAACGAUACAUAGCCGAGCUGAGAGGGGGAUCGGCCAAACUGGGAAUGGGAGACGGCCCAGACUCCUACGGGAGGCAGCAGUAGGGAAUCUUCGGAAAUGGGGGGAACCCUGACCGAGCAACGCCGCGUGAGUGAAGAAGGUUAUCGGAUCGUAAAGCUCUGUUGUUAAGGAAGCGGUACUUAAACAGAAAGGGACGGCUAACUACGUGCCAGCAGCCGCGGUAAUUC